This 497-nucleotide ribosomal RNA is filed under the name uncultured bacterium. RNAcentral describes it as "partial 16S ribosomal RNA". It matches the Rfam family "Bacterial small subunit ribosomal RNA", at positions 28 to 507 of the family's 1533-position model. The record is from RNAcentral.
GAUGAACGCUGGCGGCGUGCCUAAUACAUGCAAGUCGAGCGAACAGAUGAGGAGCUUGCUCCUCUGACGUUAGCGGCGGACGGGUGAGUAACACGUGGAUAACCUACCUAUAAGACUGGGAUAACUUCGGGAAACCGGAGCUAAUACCGGAUAAUAUAUUGAACCGCAUGGUUCAAUAGUGAAAGACGGUUUUGCUGUCACUUAUAGAUGGAUCCGCGCCGCAUUAGCUAGUUGGUAAGGUAACGGCUUACCAAGGCAACGAUGCGUAGCCGACCUGAGAGGGUGAUCGGCCACACUGGAACUGAGACACGGUCCAGACUCCUACGGGAGGCAGCAGUAGGGAAUCUUCCGCAAUGGGCGAAAGCCUGACGGAGCAACGCCGCGUGAGUGAUGAAGGUCUUGGGAUCGUAAAACUCUGUUAUUAGGGAAGAACAAAUGUGUAAGUAACUAUGCACGUCUUGACGGUACCUAAUCAGAAAGCCACGGCUAACUACGUG